Molecule: ribosomal RNA, 659 nt
Filed under: Capra hircus (goat)
Lineage: Eukaryota; Metazoa; Chordata; Mammalia; Artiodactyla; Bovidae
Description: partial large subunit ribosomal RNA
Rfam family: Bacterial large subunit ribosomal RNA
Source: RNAcentral
AGAUACCAAAUAUAUAAAUAAAUCUUACUGUAUCUUUAAAAGUUAGUCUAAAAAGGUACAGCCUUUUAGAAAUGGGUACAACCUUCACUAGAGAGUAAGACCUUACAACACCAUAGUAGGCCUAAAAGCAGCCAUCAAUUAAGAAAGCGUUAAAGCUCAACAAUAAAAAUAAUAUUAAUCCCAACAAUAAUACAGCUAACUCCUAGACCUAAUACUGGACUAUUCUAUUAUUAAAUAGAAGCAAUAAUGUUAAUAUGAGUAACAAGAAAUAUUUUCUCCCUGCACAAGUUUAAGUCAGUAUCUGAUAAUAUUCUGACUGUUAACAGUUAAUAAUAACACCCCAACAAUAAAUAAUUUAUUAAUUGUGCUGUUAACCCAACACAGGAGUGCACCCAGGAAAGAUUAAAAGAAGUAAAAGGAACUCGGCAAACACAAACCCCGCCUGUUUACCAAAAACAUCACCUCCAGCAUUUCCAGUAUUGGAGGCACUGCCUGCCCAGUGACUAAACGUUAAACGGCCGCGGUAUCCUGACCGUGCAAAGGUAGCAUAAUCAUUUGUUCUCUAAAUAAGGACUUGUAUGAGCGGCCACACGAGGGUUUUACUGUCUCUUACUUCCAAUCAGUGAAAUUGACCUCCCCGUGAAGAGGCGGGAAUGAAU